CCCAAUCCUUGCCACCCAGAUUUCCAUGUGACAGACUGUGCCCACCCCUGCCCUGAGCCCUGGGUCUGAGAAGGUCAGGAAGGUCCUGGGGUGUGCUGAGUCUGGAGGGCACAGUCUCCUUUUCUAGUGCCCUCAGUCCCCUUUCCCCUUCGGGAGGCUUGGAUGCACCCUGCCCAGAGCUCGGCUGCAGAGGCAGGAAGGGCAGGCCUCAGUUUCCCACCUGCUGGGGACUGUCUGAAAGUACCCAUCAUGCGCUUUCAACUUGUAGGGUGGAGUUGUCCUCUGCACGCAGCCAUGGUCCUGGGAAGCUGUGGGGACUGGAGAUCAAGUGGUGACUGGCCAACCAGGAAGGCCUCGAGGUACCAGGGACUCAGGCCUGUUGCCUUGGUGACCCUGCUGUACCAGUGCCAGGCCUGGCUUCCGUGUCUCCACCUGGGGAAUGGACCAUGUCACCGCUUGGGAAUUCUAUUCCUCUCAGAAGCCUCCAUGUCUGGCCCUUGCAGUGAGAAGCCCUGGCCCGAUAUGGAGGACAAGAAACCCUUUCUCAGACCUCCCCAGAACCCUGCUACAUCUCCUGCCACAAGCUGUAAAGGGGGCAUCCGUGACAGACGCUGGGGACCCCAGCUCUCCCUGGGCAUUGGCACCGACCCUACGUGCUCCAGUGCGUCUGACUGCCUUGGCUUCUCUCAGCCCAGUGGUGUGCCCGCCCACUGGGGUUGCAUGAUUUCCUUCCUGUGCAAGAUCCCGUUUGCAUCACCACACAGGCAGGCGGGGCCGGUGCCAGCAGGUCCUCAGAUGCCCCGAGCCCCCUGUGCCCGACUCAUGAGUGGAUAUGGGACGCAGCCUGGCUUUGCUGACUGUCUGGGACACUCUGUCCUCAGGGCCCCACAUACCUGGCACAGGCAUUGGUGGGUCGUGAACUCCUGGGAGUGAGCAGCAGAGGGCAUCUGGCAGAGAUGGGAGCCCACCCUGGGACAGCUGUCUGUUGCGCGUGUAGCCCCUGUUCCAGGGGGGGUUGAGGAUGGUGAGGAGCAAGGCUGUGGACACCUGGGGUGUCCCUGGGGGAAGGAGCUCCAUGGGGACAUUGGGUUGGGGCAGGGCUGG
RNAcentral lists this long non-coding RNA (1104 nucleotides) under Castor canadensis (American beaver). RNAcentral describes it as "lncRNA (ENSCCNG00000002422.1)". Lineage: Eukaryota; Metazoa; Chordata; Mammalia; Rodentia; Castoridae. The record is from RNAcentral.